GGCCAGCGGCCAUUGCGUCCGCCUGAAAAGCGGAAGGUCGCCGGUUCGAUCCCGGCCCUGGCCACCA
Molecule: transfer RNA, 67 nt
Filed under: Mycobacterium sp. Aquia_216
Lineage: Bacteria; Bacillati; Actinomycetota; Actinomycetes; Mycobacteriales; Mycobacteriaceae
Description: tRNA-Phe
Rfam family: tRNA
About the family: Transfer RNA (tRNA) molecules are approximately 80 nucleotides in length. Their secondary structure includes four short double-helical elements and three loops (D, anti-codon, and T loops). Further hydrogen bonds mediate the characteristic L-shaped molecular structure. tRNAs have two regions of fundamental functional importance: the anti-codon, which is responsible for specific mRNA codon recognition, and the 3' end, to which the tRNAs corresponding amino acid is attached (by aminoacyl-tRNA synthetases). tRNAs cope with the degeneracy of the genetic code in two manners: having more than one tRNA (with a specific anti-codon) for a particular amino acid; and 'wobble' base-pairing, i.e. permitting non-standard base-pairing at the 3rd anti-codon position.
Source: RNAcentral